This 254-nucleotide ribosomal RNA is filed under the name uncultured bacterium. RNAcentral describes it as "partial 16S ribosomal RNA". It matches the Rfam family "Bacterial small subunit ribosomal RNA", at positions 524 to 776 of the family's 1533-position model. The record is from RNAcentral.
UACGUAGGGUGCGAGCGUUGUCCGGAAUUAUUGGGCGUAAAGAGCUCGUAGGCGGUGUGUCACGUCGGCCGUGAAAACCUGCAGCUUAACUGUGGGCUUGCGGUCGAUACGGGCAUCACUGGAGUUCGGCAGGGGAGACUGGAAUUCCUGGUGUAGCGGUGAAAUGCGCAGAUAUCAGGAGGAACACCGGUGGCGAAGGCGGGUCUCUGGGCCGAUACUGACGCUGAGGAGCGAAAGCGUGGGGAGCGAACAGG